CGGGAGAUGUGAGAAGGGCCUCAGCUAGGUUGCAGCGAGCGGCAAGCAGUGACCAGAGCUCCUCUGAGAGAGAGAGAGAACGAGCAAGUGGCCUUCUGAUUGCCAAUCUCUAUGUGUACGAUCGAGGAGGUUGGCUUUUCGAGAGGGCUAAAUUGGCUUCGCGAGGAGAUGCUGAGUGGCUUCGCCCCCUUUGUUCCGCAAGGUGCAGCGAAUAAUUUCUCCGAAAUUUGUCAUUCCCCCUCGCUCUUUCAUCGUCAAGAUUGGAUUUUUCUUCCUUUUUGUCAUCUCUUCUCUCAACGAUUGGUGUUAUUGGGUCCGAUGAUGGCAUGGAAUCUUUGAGACCUGAUCUUUUUCAUCUUGGUGAAAACCAUAAGCAUGUUUCUGAGGACCCACUCCUGUAUGUUCAAUUUUUUUUUGUUUUUUUGUUUUCUCGUUUAUACUGGAUGAUGAAAUGCACUGGGCUCCGACCAGUUCUUC
This is a long non-coding RNA of Musa acuminata subsp. malaccensis (wild Malaysian banana), 477 nucleotides long. RefSeq lists it as uncharacterized. NCBI's taxonomy places the organism in Eukaryota, Viridiplantae, Streptophyta, Magnoliopsida, Zingiberales, Musaceae. The record is from RefSeq and is a predicted model, not a curated record.